Molecule: non-coding RNA, 125 nt
Organism: Triticum aestivum (bread wheat)
Lineage: Eukaryota; Viridiplantae; Streptophyta; Magnoliopsida; Poales; Poaceae
Source: Rfam
CAGGUACUCCCUCUGUCCCGACAUACUUGUCGAAAAAACUGAUAAAACUAGAUGUAUCUAGAACUAAAAUAUGACUAGAUACAUUCAUUUCUCCGACAAGUAUUUCCGGACGAAGGGAGUUCAAU